This 429-nucleotide ribosomal RNA is filed under the name Actinomycetes bacterium. RNAcentral's name for it is "Actinobacteria bacterium partial 16S ribosomal RNA". It matches the Rfam family "Bacterial small subunit ribosomal RNA", at positions 355 to 776 of the family's 1533-position model. Lineage: Bacteria; Bacillati; Actinomycetota; Actinomycetes. The record is from RNAcentral.
UAGGGAAUCUUCCGCAAUGGGCGAAAGCCUGACGGAGCAACGCCGCGUGAGUGAUGAAGGUCUUCGGAUCGUAAAACUCUGUUAUUAGGGAAGAACAAAUGUGUAAGUAACUAUGCACGUCUUGACGGUACCUAAUCAGAAAGCCACGGCUAACUACGUGCCAGCAGCCGCGGUAAUACGUAGGUGGCAAGCGUUAUCCGGAAUUAUUGGGCGUAAAGCGCGCGUAGGCGGUUUUUUAAGUCUGAUGUGAAAGCCCACGGCUCAACCGUGGAAAGUCAUUGGAAACUGGAAAACUUGAAUGCAGAAGAGGAAAGUGGAAUUCCAUGUGUAGCGGUGAAAUGCGCAGAGAUAUGGAGGAACACCAGUGGCGAAGGCGACUUUCUGGUCUGUAACUGACGCUGAUGAGCGAAAGCGUGGGGAUCAAACAGG